GACGAACGCUGGCGGCGUGCUUACACAUGCAAGUCGAACGAAGAGCGACGGAAGCUUGCUUCUAUCAAUCUUAGUGGCGAACGGGUGAGUAACGCGUAAUCAACCUGCCCUUCAGAGGGGGACAACAGUUGGAACCCCCUGCUAAUACCGCAUACGAUCUAAUCUCGGCAUCGAGGAUAGAUGAAAGGUGGCCUCUACAUGUAAGCUAUCACUGAAGGAGGGGAUUGCGUCUGAUUAGCUAGUUGGAGGGGUAACGGCCCACCAAGGCGAUGAUCAGUAGCCGGUCUGAGAGGAUGAACGGCCACAUUGGACUGAGACACGGCCCAGACCCCUACGGGAGGCAGCAGUGGGGAAUCUUCCGCAAUGGACGAAAGUCUGACGGAGCAACGCCGCGUGAGUGAAGACGGCCUUCGGGUUGUAAAGCUCUGUUAAUCGGGACGA
RNAcentral lists this ribosomal RNA (441 nucleotides) under Veillonella parvula. RNAcentral describes it as "bacterial SSU rRNA". It matches the Rfam family "Bacterial small subunit ribosomal RNA", at positions 28 to 448 of the family's 1533-position model. Lineage: Bacteria; Bacillati; Bacillota; Negativicutes; Veillonellales; Veillonellaceae. The record is from RNAcentral.